UUCCAGACUCCUACGGGAGGCAGCAGUGAGGAAUAUUGGUCAAUGGGCUUACGCCUGAACCAGCCAAGUCGCGUGAGGGAAGACUGCCCUAUGGGUUGUAAACCUCUUUUGUCAGGGAGCAAUUGGCGCUACGUGUAGCGUUAUCGAGAGUACCUGAAGAAAAAGCAUCGGCUAACUCCGUGCCAGCAGCCGCGGUAAUACGGAGGAUGCGAGCGUUAUCCGGAUUUAUUGGGUUUAAAGGGUGCGUAGGCGGUUUGAUAAGUUAGAGGUGAAAUGUCGGGGCUCAACCCCGAAACUGCCUCUAAUACUGUUGGACUAGAGAAUAGUUGCGGUAGGCGGAAUGUAUGGUGUAGCGGUGAAAUGCUUAGAGAUCAUACAGAACACCGAUUGCGAAGGCAGCUUACCAAACUAUAUCUGACGUUGAGGCACGAAAGCGUGGGUAGCAAACAGGAUUAGAUACCCCCGUAUU
This 469-nucleotide ribosomal RNA is filed under the name uncultured bacterium. RNAcentral's name for it is "bacterial SSU rRNA". It matches the Rfam family "Bacterial small subunit ribosomal RNA", at positions 329 to 794 of the family's 1533-position model. The record is from RNAcentral.